UAACGAAUCUUCCGCAAUGGGCGCAAGCCUGACGGAGCAAUGCCGCGUGUGGGAUGAAGCGUCUCUGACGUGUAAACCACUGUCAGGGGUUAGAAACAAUGAUCAACCCCAAAGGAAGUGGCGACUAACUCUGUGCCAGCAGUCGCGGUAAUACAGAGGCCACAAGCGUUAGUCGGAAUCACUGGGCUUAAAGGGUGCGUAGGCUGGUCCGCAAGCGUCUUGUGAAAUCCCCGGGCUCAACCUGGGAAUUGCAUUUGAGACUGCACGGCUAGAGUGUGUCAGAGGGGGGUAGAAUUCCACGUGUAGCAGUGAAAUGCGUAGAUAUGUGGAGGAAUACCGAUGGCGAAGGCAGCCCCCUGGGAUAACACUGACGCUCAUGCACGAAAGCGUGGGGAGCAAACAGGAUUAGAUACCCGGGUAGUCCCUGAGCGGGCUGGCAAGGCGCAU
RNAcentral lists this ribosomal RNA (447 nucleotides) under uncultured bacterium. Its description in RNAcentral is "bacterial SSU rRNA". It matches the Rfam family "Bacterial small subunit ribosomal RNA", at positions 355 to 825 of the family's 1533-position model. The record is from RNAcentral.